RNAcentral lists this ribosomal RNA (251 nucleotides) under uncultured bacterium. RNAcentral's name for it is "partial 16S ribosomal RNA". It matches the Rfam family "Bacterial small subunit ribosomal RNA", at positions 525 to 775 of the family's 1533-position model. The record is from RNAcentral.
ACGGAGGGUGCGAGCGUUAUUCGGAAUUACUGGGCGUAAAGCGCGUGUAGGCGGCCAACCAAGUCUGAUGUGAAAGCCCUGGGCUUAACCUGGGAAGUGCAUUGGAAACUGGCUGGCUUGAGUACUGGAGAGGAAGGGGGAAUUCCCGGUGUAGAGGUGAAAUUCGUAGAGAUCGGGAGGAAUACCAGUGGCGAAGGCGCCCUUCUGGACGGUUACUGACGCUGAGACGCGAAAGCGUGGGGAGCAAACAG